Molecule: long non-coding RNA, 457 nt
Filed under: Monodelphis domestica (gray short-tailed opossum)
Lineage: Eukaryota; Metazoa; Chordata; Mammalia; Didelphimorphia; Didelphidae
Description: lncRNA (ENSMODG00000041519.1)
Source: RNAcentral
AUUCUUUGAUCUACACAGGUCUAAGAACUGGAAUUCUUAGUACCUACUGAACUCCCCCUAACAUCACUAUGGAAAUGGAAGGGGACCACACAAGACUGAGGUCCAGCACUCUACCUACUAUGCCACCUAGAUGCCCUAUGGAGGAGGAAAUGGAGAAUCUAAGAGGCAAAGUGAUCUACUGAAUGCCAUUAAGUUGGCAACUGAGACAGGGCCCUCACCCAGAAGGUGCCCAGUACACAUUUACUGACUAAUAGGUAAGUCAUUCUUUGUGUGCCUCUUGUCUGACCUCUCUAAAAUCAUGAUGGGGUUGCCUGUAUUUUUGAGAUAAUAAGACACUAAGGAUGUUUUGAGUGCCUGCUGUGUGAUAUUUGACAAAUUUGUUUUCCUGUAAUUUUCUACAAUUUCACAAGAAAUUACUUAGCCUUGAAAUGUUGAAAUAUUGUUUUUCUCACUGGAG